This 1201-nucleotide long non-coding RNA is filed under the name Junco hyemalis (dark-eyed junco). RNAcentral's name for it is "lncRNA (ENSJHYG00000006641.1)". The record is from RNAcentral. Lineage: Eukaryota; Metazoa; Chordata; Aves; Passeriformes; Passerellidae.
GAAUCUUAUGUUGGGAAGUCAGCUGCCUCAGGUGAUGCACUACUCAUGGGUGUGUUACAUCUAUUAACUGCAACAGCAAUCCCUGUCUGAAAUUUGGGGUGGUUGGGGGGCGCAGCUACCAUCUCACAAGUGCAUUACAAAAGGCGCCUCCAGCUGGACCAACUUGGGUAAGCAGCACGAGGACAGAAAAUCUGAUCAUGAACAGUUGUAAGACAGUGUCUUUUGGAUGCUCUCUUGGUGUUCAUCAUUCCUGUAUCCCAGGAAACAUUGCCACCAUCAAAAAAAAAAAAAAAAAAAAAAAAAAGAAAUUAUCUAUUUUUUUGCCCAAAUCAAUGUCAGAACAAAUAAUUUUGCUUUCUAACAAGCAAAACAUAGAAGAGAACAUGCAGGUGAUGGCUGUUGAAUAAAAGUUUAGUAAGAAAGUUACACAGUUUUAAGAUAUUCCAAUGUGGCCAAUGUGAUGAGAAUCUCAUAAAGCCAAAAUACUCUCAGAAUGCUUAAAAAUAUCAUGCCAUUUCCAGGCUGAAAAAAUCAAGGAGGGAUUUUAAAGAACUCAGUGCAGGGCUAAAUGAAUUAUUGAUUGCUUCGGUAUAACUGAAACCUCACCGGGAUUUACAAGCAGUAGUGACAGUGUGGGUGCUGGGGUUCAUGGAAACACCCCUUGUCUCUACUGCCGUGUCUUCCCUUCGGCACGGCACAGUCCAGGUGAGCCAGGUAAAUACACACCUGGCGCCCGAACAGAGAUCCCAGGAGAAACAAUGAAAAGCAGGGCAGAUUCAAACAACAACAGGAACUAACAGUUUGCAUAUUGCAUAUUGCCAGACUGUCCGGGUGUGUCUUUAGGCUGCUGUCACCUUUGUUUGCCUGCGGACGCGCAGCGAGAAGAACCAGCAGCCGUGCGGGUAAAACUGAGGGUACACCCAGCGUAACCGCGGCACUGGAGGCUCCGCACAGAGCAGACCGUGGGCAGGCCGCGGGCACCCCUGCUCUCCCCUCGGUGUUCCCAGUGCUCGGGGCAGGAAGGAUCCAGGCGGGGAAUUCUCCUCUUCAGGUACCCUGACGCCUUUUCCUCGCGGGGCCGGAGCGCUGCCCUCGCCCGUCGCAGGACUACAGCUCCCAGCGAGCCUUGCGCCGCCUCCAUCUUCCCCCUCACAAACGCUCCUUGUUGAAAUAAAACCUGUCCUUGAACAAAACUUUCUCA